Long non-coding RNA from Juglans microcarpa x Juglans regia, 308 nucleotides. RefSeq lists it as uncharacterized. The transcript has 2 exons. The record is from RefSeq and is a predicted model, not a curated record. NCBI's taxonomy places the organism in Eukaryota, Viridiplantae, Streptophyta, Magnoliopsida, Fagales, Juglandaceae.
UUUUGCUUUCUUGAAAUUCAUUUUUUCUUUUCCAAUACAUUCUUUUUAAAAAUAUUUCAUAGACUUUGAUGGAGACAUUGGAUACCAACUUGGUUUGCUUUUGGUUUGGUAUGUUGGUUUAAAUGUUGUAAACAUACGUAUCAAAAUCUUUAAAGGAUCCUAAAGAGAAGUCUUCAGAGACUUGUAGGAAAAUCUUUGAUGAUGAAUCAGCAUUGAGUGACAUCCCGGGAUCAUAUUGAUGUUGUGUAACUCCAUGGAGACUUUGCAAAGUCAUGGAGAUGUGUUGUGAAACAAGUUGGUUGUGUUGU